Molecule: ribosomal RNA, 334 nt
Filed under: uncultured eukaryote
Lineage: Eukaryota
Description: partial 18S ribosomal RNA
Rfam family: Eukaryotic small subunit ribosomal RNA
Source: RNAcentral
CCCUUAGAUGUCCGGGGCCGCACGCGCGCUACACUGAAGGAAUCAGCGUGGCUUUCUCCCUGACCCGAAAGGGUUGGGAAACCCGUUGAAUCUCCUUCGUGAUAGGGAUUGGGGCUUGAAAUUGUUCCCCAUGAACGAGGAAUUCCCAGUAAGCGCGAGUCAUAAGCUCGCGUUGAUUACGUCCCUGCCCUUUGUACACACCGCCCGUCGCUACUACCGAUUGAACGGUUUAGUGAGGGCCUCGGAUUGGUCUCGGCCCGCUCUUUACCGGGCGGCGGCGUUGGUCGAGAAGACGCUCGAACUUGAUCGUUUAGAGGAAGUAAAAGUCGUAACA